Brassica rapa (field mustard) is the source of this 3024-nucleotide long non-coding RNA. RefSeq lists it as uncharacterized. Lineage: Eukaryota; Viridiplantae; Streptophyta; Magnoliopsida; Brassicales; Brassicaceae. The record is from RefSeq and is a predicted model, not a curated record.
UCAUAAAAGUGAUGUGUGAUUGUAGGGACCAAAAUGCAAAUAAAAAUGUGAAACUUCAAAUUUGAAGUUUUGAGGAGUGAAACUCUAUAUUUGAAGUUUCACUACUCAAAACUUCAAAUUUGAAGUUUUGAAGUUUUUUUUUGGAGAGCAAAAAACUUCAUAUUUGAAGUUAUAGAGUAUCUUUUGGAGAUGCUCUAAGAGCAUGAUAUAAUAGGAUUCGUAGGGAAAUAUUAGAAACCGUCUCUUAACUUUUAACUAAAAAAAUAAGAACCGGCUUUUAGAUAAGAUGUUUAAGAGUCGGUUCUUAACUUUUUUAUUUAAAAGUUAAAAGAUAGUUUCUUAUAUUCCGUUAAGAACCGACUCUUAAACAUCUUAUCUAAAAGCCUUUUUAUUUUAAAGUUAAAAGAUAGUUUCUAAUCCCACUCUAUUUUUUCCUCUAAAAUAGAGUUUAGAAUAAAAAUAUUCCAAUUGUACUAUUUUUCUACUCUAUAAUAGUGUAAACCUAUUUUUUUUUCUAUAUAUAGAGUAAUUUUUCUUUUGUUCAUCAUUCUAUUUUUCAUUUUAAAAUAGAGUACCAUUGAAACAAUAUUCAACUCUAUUAUAGAGAAAAAAAUAGAGUAAACCACUGGAAAUGAUCUAAAAAACUUAAAAACUCCCAAAGAUCAAAAUAAAAAGGCUUCUUCUUAAUUUAGCCCACCAAAAGCAAAAUGAGCCACUAAUUUAUCUCCUCUCACUCCGGCUUAGCAACAGCCAACAGUUACAUGAGAUACGAAACAGUCUUAGACUUGUUUCUCGUUAGUUUUAUUUAUCUUAAGACUAUACUUGAUCCGAGUUCGUAGGACACUAGUAGCCACUAAGGAAGUUAUCUUUUUCUUCCAAAUUGGACUUCUUGAGUUCUUGUGUAAUCAACAAACGAAGAGGCUUCGAUAAAGAAGAUAGAAAACGCGUUUGACAACAGAGUUGAUGCUGAAAGAACUCUCCGGGAGAUCAAGCUUCUUUGCCACAUGAUAUUAAAAUGAAACAUAAAUGGAGCCACCAGAGAAUGAGGUUCGAAGAUGUGUAUAUUGUUCAGCAGCUGAAACUUAGCACUGAGGUAAACACAUGUUACAAGCAAUUCUCUGUUUGUGUGUAUUGUUAGCUCUAAGUUUCACUAGAUGACUGAUCUUGACUUCUUGAGAAGCAAUAAUUCUCGGAAGUACGUAAAGCAACUCCCACGUUCAAACAAACACUCAUUUAGAGAAACGCAUAUCACAGAUGCUGCCCGUAUUUUUGUUUGCCUUGGGAUGGUAUAAAUAUGAAAUACUAAAAAAAAUGUUUUUAUUGACUUGGAAGUAGAGGAAGCGUUGAAGCAGCCCUACUUGGCCAGUCAUCUCUAUGUGAUUAACGAGAACCAACUUGUCCUUCUACUUUCAGCUUCGACUUUGAGGACACAACCUUGGAUGAACAAGAGAUCAAGGAUAUCUUAUCUUGAGAGAGUCUUUACACUUCCAGGAUAAGUGGUCUCCCACAAUAUAAGACGCUUGACCGCCAAACCAUGUGCUAUUCGAAGCUGUGAGAAAUAGGUGAAAAUGGUUAGUAGUAUUCUAGUGUGUGUUUUGUAUUGUCAGUGAAUUAUGCAGUCCGAAGAAAGUGACAAGCUUUUGCGUGUUGUAUACGUAUAUAAUAACUCGACAAACACAAAUUUUCUGACUAUUCCAUUUUCCUCAUAGAAAGUAGAAACCAUGGGAAACCGUCAUCUUUUCCAGAGCUUGCGUUUGGAUUUUAUUUUAAGUUAUAUAUAAAAACAUUUAUGAUAUAUCAUAAAAAAAUCAAAACGAUGAUACAUUUCGAGAAUUUAGAUUUUUUUUUUGUUCUAAAGUGUGAAAUGGCAUUCGAACAUAUAUCUAUGUAAGACGUUUUCUCGCAUGAGCUAGCGUAUAAUAUAUCUACAAAUAAUUUCUUACCGACCAAACCAUCCAAGAUCAAGCUAAUUUGGCUAUAAUCAGCCUAAAAUAUCUACUUUCACCAAAUUCCAAAAAAACAUAUCCCAACUCAAUAAGAAAAUUCAUGUGACAGUGUGUAUACCCACCUCAUAGGUGAACUUUUGAAAUAUAAUCUACAACCUAGUGUUUUAAUUAACAGAGCUAGUGUGUUGUCAAAAAAAAAAAACAGAUCUAGUGUUGUGACGACUUGUCUACAGUUUAUGAAACUUUAACUGCACGAUUUGUACUACAAUUCCUUCCUACAAAUAUUUGGCCCAAAAACAAAAGCUGCAUAGCUGGUUUAUCAAACUUUCGUAUUCGGUCAUGCAACUAGCCGAUUUUUUAAUAUAUGCUACGUUAAACUAUGCCGGAAAGUAAUAUUCUAGCUGUGCAUACUAUUUGGUGAUUUUGUAUACAAUAUACAAAUCGAAAUUGGACCAAGCAAGUCAACAUCUUCAUAUGUAUACAUAUUUUUGGUGUGUCAAUAAACGUGAAAACAUAUCUAAACGAAACCCUAUUACUACAAAAAGCCAAACACGUCUUAGUUAUAUGAAUGCUGGCUCCAAAUAAUUAAUAAGCAUUAUCUCUGUAUAACCAUACUUUUUUAUAGAUUACAUGUUCCUUUCUUAAUUAAAUAACUUGAGCUGCCAAUCUAACUUCUAAUUUAAACUUAUCUUCUUUAAUGUUUCAAACAAAUGUAGAAAGCAACUAGACCGAAUUAACUUGCUAAUUUAAACUUAUCUUCACUCAAACGUUGAUUGAAAAUCUGAGAUAUUUACACAAUUCAAUUCAAAUUCAAAAAUGACUAGAAUUUUAAAUGCUGGACCAAUACAAUUACGGUUAGGAAGACUGAUUAAACUAAGACUUAUUCUUGGGUUCACUCCCUAGGGUGAACCUCUAGGUUCACCAACCAAUAGGAUUGUUUUAUUUUAUAUUCGAAAUCUUUUAAAAAAGGAAACAAAAUAUUUUCUCAAGUUAUAAGUUAUAUUAUAUUUUUAAAAUAAAAAGGUUAAAAUAAAUAAAUUUAAAAAGUAGUAAUUAAAAAAAAAAAAUUUUUAACAUU